UGAUCUACCCUUGGUCAGGUUGAAGUUCAGGUAACACUGAAUGGAGGACCGAACCGACUUACGUUGAAAAGUGAGCGGAUGAACUGAGGGUAGCGGAGAAAUUCCAAUCGAACCUGGAGAUAGCUGGUUCUCUCCGAAAUAGCUUUAGGGCUAGCCUCAAGUGAUGAUUAUUGGAGGUAGAGCACUGUUUGGACGAGGGGCCCCUCUCGGGUUACCGAAUUCAGACAAACUCCGAAUGCCAAUUAAUUUAACUUGGGAGUCAGAACAUGGGUGAUAAGGUCCAUGUUCGAAAGGGAAACAGCCCAGACCACCAGCUAAGGUCCCAAAAUAUAUGUUAAGUGGAAAAGGAUGUGGCGUUGCCCAGACAACUAGGAUGUUGGCUUAGAAGCAGCCAUCAUUUAAAGAGUGCGUAAUAGCUCACUAGUCGAGUGACACUGCGCCGAAAAUGUACCGGGGCUAAACAUAUUACCGAAGCUGUGGAUUGUCCUUUGGACAAUGGUAGGAGAGCGUUCUAAGGGCGUUGAAGCAUGAUCGUAAGGACAUGUGGAGCGCUUAGAAGUGAGAAUGCCGGUGUGAGUAGCGAAAGACGGGUGAGAAUCCCGUCCACCGAUUGACUAAGGUUUCCAGAGGAAGGCUCGUCCGCUCUGGGUUAGUCGGGUCCUAAGCUGAGGCCGACAGGCGUAGGCGAUGGAUAACAGGUUGAUAUUCCUGUACCACCUAUAAUCGUUUUAAUCGAUGGGGGGACGCAGUAGGAUAGGCGAAGCGUGCGAUUGGAUUGCACGUCUAAGCAGUAAGGCUGAGUAUUAGGCAAAUCCGGUACUCGUUAAGGCUGAGCUGUGAUGGGGAGAAGACAUUGUGUCUUCGAGUCGUUGAUUUCACACUGCCGAGAAAAGCCUCUAGAUAGAAAAUAGGUGCCCGUACCGCAAACCGACACAGGUAGUCAAGAUGAGAAUUCUAAGGUGAGCGAGCGAACUCUCGUUAAGGAACUCGGCAAAAUGACCCCGUAACUUCGGGAGAAGGGGUGCUCUUUAGGGUUAACGCCCAGAAGAGCCGCAGUGAAUAGGCCCAAGCGACUGUUUAUCAAAAACACAGGUCUCUGCUAAACCGUAAGGUGAUGUAUAGGGGCUGACGCCUGCCCGGUGCUGGAAGGUUAAGAGGAGUGGUUAGCUUCUGCGAAGCUACGAAUCGAAGCCCCAGUAAACGGCGGCCGUAACUAUAACGGUCCUAAGGUAGCGAAAUUCCUUGUCGGGUAAGUUCCGACCCGCACGAAAGGCGUAACGAUUUGGGCACUGUCUCAACGAGAGACUCGGUGAAAUCAUAGUACCUGUGAAGAUGCAGGUUACCCGCGACAGGACGGAAAGACCCCGUGGAGCUUUACUGUAGCCUGAUAUUGAAAUUCGGCACAGCUUGUACAGGAUAGGUAGGAGCCUUUGAAACGUGAGCGCUAGCUUACGUGGAGGCGCUGGUGGGAUACUACCCUAGCUGUGUUGGCUUUCUAACCCGCACCACUUAUCGUGGUGGGAGACAGUGUCAGGCGGGCAGUUUGACUGGGGCGGUCGCCUCCUAAAAGGUAACGGAGGCGCUCAAAGGUUCCCUCAGAAUGGUUGGAAAUCAUUCAUAGAGUGUAAAGGCAUAAGGGAGCUUGACUGCGAGACCUACAAGUCGAGCAGGGUCGAAAGACGGACUUAGUGAUCCGGUGGUUCCGCAUGGAAGGGCCAUCGCUCAACGGAUAAAAGCUACCCCGGGGAUAACAGGCUUAUCUCCCCCAAGAGUUCACAUCGACGGGGAGGUUUGGCACCUCGAUGUCGGCUCAUCGCAUCCUGGGGCUGUAGUCGGUCCCAAGGGUUGGGCUGUUCGCCCAUUAAAGCGGUACGCGAGCUGGGUUCAGAACGUCGUGAGACAGUUCGGUCCCUAUCCGUCGUGGGCGUAGGAAAUUUGAGAGGAGCUGUCCUUAGUACGAGAGGACCGGGAUGGACAUACCUCUGGUGUACCAGUUGUCGUGCCAACGGCAUAGCUGGGUAGCUAUGUGUGGACGGGAUAAGUGCUGAAAGCAUCUAAGCAUGAAGCCCCCCUCAAGAUGAGAUUUCCCAACUUCGGUUAUAAGAUCCCUCAAAGAUGAUGAGGUUAAUAGGUUCGAGGUGGAAGCAUGGUGACAUGUGGAGCUGACGAAUACUAAUCGAUCGAAGACUUAAUCAA
RNAcentral lists this ribosomal RNA (2196 nucleotides) under Staphylococcus aureus. Its description in RNAcentral is "23S ribosomal RNA". It matches the Rfam family "Bacterial large subunit ribosomal RNA", at positions 726 to 2925 of the family's 2925-position model. The record is from RNAcentral. Lineage: Bacteria; Bacillati; Bacillota; Bacilli; Caryophanales; Staphylococcaceae.